Acipenser ruthenus (sterlet) is the source of this 531-nucleotide long non-coding RNA. RefSeq lists it as uncharacterized. The transcript has 2 exons. The record is from RefSeq and is a predicted model, not a curated record. NCBI's taxonomy places the organism in Eukaryota, Metazoa, Chordata, Actinopteri, Acipenseriformes, Acipenseridae.
ACAGAAUGCAACAGAAACCGUUCAGGUCGCACAUAUUUGCAGGCUACUACGAUGUAAAGAGUAAAAGUGCCUUCUACCAGACGGAUAAUAUUGUUUCUAUUACCUAAGAAAACAGCUGUAUUAACAACAUAAUCGGGCUGCAGUUGAAGGAUGCAUGUCAGCUUCAGGACAGUGAUAAAGGACACGGCCUUGGAUUUUUUUUUUUUUUAUUGUAUUGUUCUGCAACUUAGUUGUAUGUAUGUUGCUAUAAUAUCCAAUUUUAAAAUACAUACGUAUUGUUAUUAGUUCUAUUUUAAGAAAUACAUAUUGCAUUAACGAUGUAUUUUAUUUUUUACAUUACUGUCACAAAUAUGUAAGAAUAUAGAAGCUUGUUUUGCAUGACUAUUUAUACCAGAUACAAAUGGUAGAUUUUUGUAUUAGAUUUGAAUGAAUCUUAUUUUUAAUAUACUGUAUACAGUGUGCUGAUUGGAUUUUGUAUUUUACUCAACUACAUUUAGUGAAACUGUGCUAAUAAAAAUGUUUUAAAUUAAA